This 1277-nucleotide ribosomal RNA is filed under the name uncultured prokaryote. RNAcentral's name for it is "partial 16S ribosomal RNA". It matches the Rfam family "Bacterial small subunit ribosomal RNA", at positions 76 to 1357 of the family's 1533-position model. The record is from RNAcentral.
GGGGCAACUCUUAUUUUAGUGGCGGACGGGUGCGGAAUGCGUAGGAAUCUACCUUAAAGUGGGGGAUAACUUGGGGAAACUCAAGCUAAUACCGCAUAUGCUCUACGGAGUAAAGGGGUCCGGGCCUCGCGCAGUUGGAUGAGCCUACGUCGGAUUAGCUUGUUGGUAGGGUAAAGGCCUACCAAGGCGACGAUCCGUAGCUGGUCUGAGAGGAUGAUCAGCCACACUGGGACUGAGAUACGGCCCAGACUCCUACGGGAGGCAGCAGUGGGGAAUAUUGGACAAUGGGCGCAAGCCUGAUCCAGCAAUGCCGCGUGUGUGAAGAAGGCCUUCGGGUUGUAAAGCACUUUCAGUGGGGAAGAAAUGCUCAGGGUUAAUACCCCUGAGAGUUGACGUUACCCAAAGAAGAAGCACCGGCUAACUCCGUGCCAGCAGCCGCGGUAAUACGGAGGGUGCGAGCGUUAAUCGGAAUUACUGGGCGUAAAGAGCACGUAGGUGGAUAUUUAAGUCGGAUGUGAAAGCCCUGGGCUCAACCUGGGAACUGCAUUCGAUACUGCCUGACUAGAGUGUGGUAGAGGGAAGUGGAAUUCCCAGUGUAGAGGUGAAAUUCGUAGAUAUUGGGAAGAACACCAGUGGCGAAGGCGGCUUCCUGGACCAACACUGACACUGAGGUGCGAAAGCGUGGGGAGCGAACAGGAUUAGAUACCCUGGUAGUCCACGCCGUAAACGAUGAGAACUAGAUGUUGGGGGGCAUGUCCCUUUAGUGUCGAAGCUAACGCGUUAAGUUCUCCGCCUGGGGAGUACGGCCGCAAGGUUAAAACUCAAAUGAAUUGACGGGGGCCCGCACAAGCGGUGGAGCAUGUGGUUUAAUUCGAACCAACGCGAAGAACCUUACCUAGGCUUGACAUCCUCGGAACUUGUCAGAAAUGACUUGGUGCCUUCGGGAGCCGAGUGACAGGUGCUGCAUGGCUGUCGUCAGCUCGUGUCGUGAGAUGUUGGGUUAAGUCCCGUAACGAGCGCAACCCUUGUCCUUAGUUGCCAGCACGUAAUGGUGGGAACUCUAGGAGACUGCCGGUGAUAAACCGGAGGAAGGUGGGGACGAGGUCAAGUCAUCAUGGCCCUUACGGGUAGGGCUACACACGUGCUACAAUGGGCAGUACAAAGGGUUGCGAAGCCGCGAGGUGGAGCCAAUCCCACAAAGCUGCUCUCAGUCCGGAUUGGAGUCUGCAACUCGACUCCAUGAAGUCGGAAUCGCUAGUAAUCGUGAAUCAGAAUGU